GCGCGAAACCUUUACAAUGCACGAACGUGUGAUAAGGGGAUCCUAAGUGCUUUGCUUAUGCAGGGCUUUUGCCAAGAGUAAAUAUCUUGGAGAAUAAGUGGUGGGAAAGACUGGUGCCAGCAGCCGCGGUAAUACCAGCGCCACAAGUGGUGAUCAACUUUAUUGGGCCUAAAGCGUUCGUAGCCGGUCUCAUAAAUUUCCUGUGAAAUUGUCAGGCUUAACUUGACAGCGUGCAGGAAAGACUAUUUGACUAGGAACCGGGAUGGGUCAGAGGUAUUCUUGGGGGAGCGGUAAAAUGCUAUAAUCCCAAGAGGACUAACAGUGGCGAAGGCGUCUGACUAGAACGGAUUCGACGGUGAUUGGACGAAAGCCAGUGGAGCAAUCCGG
Molecule: ribosomal RNA, 387 nt
Filed under: uncultured bacterium
Lineage: Bacteria
Description: bacterial SSU rRNA
Rfam family: Archaeal small subunit ribosomal RNA
Source: RNAcentral